UGUGCGCGCCGGUGCGGGCGGCAGCAGUAAACAUGUUCUACCGAGUGCGUAGUUCCAGCAGCGCUACUUCACCUCUUCGCGAUUUGUUAAUUAUGACGAUUCCAGCGUCUACGGAAGCUCGCUCCCUGUGGAACUGGAGAUAAUUUGUCGUUCGAAGUCUUAUCUUAAAGAACAAUGUACGUCUCUGCAGACUGGCAUAUGGACGUAGCUGGCAUGGACCAGUCGUGCCUGCACGAGGGCCUGCCCGCCGUGCCCGGGGGGCUGCCACUGCUGGCGGUCCACGCGGCCGUGGACGGCGUCAUGCUGCUGCUCAUGCUGGCGACGAACGCGUCGAUCGUGGCGGCCAUCGUCCGCCAGCGCCGCCGCCUCGCCGGCGUCUCCCUGUCGGCGCGCUUCGCCGCCAACCUCGCGGCAGCGGACGCGUUCGUCGGCGCUGCCACCGUCUUCUACCUGUCCUACCGCUACGUGUGCGCCUCGAGGGUGGGGCUCGGUGGCUACAAGUACACGUGCGUGUUACGCUUCGUGGUCGUCAGCAGCGCCCACAUGACCUCGGCCUACAGCCUCGUGGCCAUAGCUGUCGACCGCUACAUCGCAGUUGUGCACGCACUCCGCUACAAGGAAAUCAUGAACGUCAGGCGAUGGGCUGUCAUAAUUGCAACUGUAUGGCUGGCCUCCACAAUGAUAAAUCUAUCACUCUUUGCGUGGAAUAAAUGGGAGCCUGGAGCUGAAUGCGAACUGGACAAAAUCGUUCCUCUGGGUUACAUGAUAGCAGCCGGGAUCGCAACCCACGGCGGCAUCAUCGUGGUCGUGGCACUGGUGCAUUACCGGAUUCACAGGGAGGCAGUUGCGGUGAAGUGCCGACGACUGACGGGCGACAACCAGCCAUGCCCCGGGGGGUCGGCGGCCAACGUGCUGCGACGCACCAUGAACACCAAGUCUGCUCGCGUCCUCCUUCUCGUUACCUGCGUCUACCUGGGCUGCUGGGCGCCCUACACGCUUCUCUAUCUCGUUAAGGUCUCCGGAAUCUCAUCCCCAGCCAUCGACCUUGCCCAGAACCUCGCCUAUACUUUCGCCAACAUCAAUUACCUCGUCAACCCAUUCAUCUAUUCGUGGAAGAACGCGAAUGUUCGUCAGUGUAUUGUAAGGACCCUCCAAGACCUGGGACUCUACGACAAAUCUGUAUUGAGUAAUGCAGUCAAGAGUAAUGUUUCUGACAGGAGGACUAGCAGCAGGACACCGUCGAGUGAGCAAAUUAUUCCUACUUAGUGGUCCAUCAUUCCAGUGUUUCGUUUAUCAUUCAGGAUUCGUCAUUCGAUUCGUAGCGAAGUGUGCUGCGGGUAUUUUGUAAAUGGACGAAGUAGCAGGAGAAACGAUCUGUUGAAAAAUGUCGUUUGUCCGUCGCCAGUGGCAGUGUAAUGUGCAAAAUCUGUUGAAAAAUGUCCAUCCAAAGUGCAUUUCAGCAACAGUCAGAGACGUAUCCAGAACAUUACCAUUGUAUAAGAAAGACAUAGCAUAUAAUUAGUGAAACUGCUGAUACACAUUUAAUUAUGAAGUAUUACUACAGCGUGUAUGAUGUAGCACUAAAUUAGGUUGUCAGUCCUAGAUGGCAACUGAGAAGUGCAAAAAUGCAAAAUUGUGCUUUGUGCCUUUGGACCACACGGAAAUUGAAUAUCCAAGAAAUCAGUGACACAACUUUUUUGUAAAUGUUCAUGUAUUAAAUAUGGAUGCAGAUAUAGUGUGGAUAUAGAUGGAGAUGAAGCUGGUUCACCAUACAGUCUACAGGUAACAGGAUGAUGCACAUAUGCCACAGUCUCAAAACUGAUAACAGUGUGCUUUAGACCCUUGUGGUUCUCAGCACCUCAAAUGUUUUAUUUUAUCUGCUACACAAUCAACUUAUUUUUCACAAUUAAUCUGGCUGUGGUUCUUGGUACUAGAUGAACUGAGUUAAUUUAGAUGAUAUAAAAUGAUUUGUGUGUAGAUUGUAAUUCAUGC
Molecule: unclassified non-coding RNA, 1992 nt
Filed under: Schistocerca americana (American grasshopper)
Lineage: Eukaryota; Metazoa; Arthropoda; Insecta; Orthoptera; Acrididae
Description: adenosine receptor A1-like, transcript variant X2
Source: RNAcentral